UUUUUACCACCGACAAUGAGCACUAGAAUACCCUAAGUUUGUCAACUUUAGAUAUGAUGGAACCAUAUACCAAAUCAGGUUAAGGCAGCAUCGAGCAAAAGUCUACUUUGUAGAAGGACUGAAACAAUUUAGAAAAGAUUUAUCAAUUUUUGAAUCUGUGAUGAUUAAAUUCUUGGCAUGCAACAAAAAAUCCAUGUUUGAUCUUUAUUUCGUUCCCUCACUAGAAUGCCAGACUUGCGGAAGGUCAGAAGUUAUGUCAAGACAACAUAUUUGGACAAUUGAAAUCACAUAAUCAAUGCUUGGUGCACCAGGACCACUGAGACUCCUUAACUGUGCCAUGACACAUGUAAAUGCCUACGGUCAACACAUGACCAUUCUCAGAAGAUUUGGACCUCCAUUACAGUGGAAUGUUGUCGUGGUUGAUGGUGGAGUUGGGGGCAAAUAUGUUGUACAACCAUGGUAUCAAUUCCUUGCAGAUAAUGAUUUCUCCCACGAUGAUGAAGUCUCCUUCUAUUACAGGACCAUUGAUAAAAUAUGGGAAAUUGUCAUCCGCCGAAGAUAGAAUUGGGACUAUUAGCUUUAGUUUAUGUACUUUGAUUCAUCUAUCUUUUUGUCUUUUAUGUUUUUCCCCUCUCCUCUCAUUUAAUUGAAACAUUAUUUUUUUUGUGUUGGCAUUUUCAUUUUCACCCACUCCUUUUGUUCCUUUCAUUUUCUUCUUUUUUACUACACCCAUCAAAAAUUGGCCUUGCAUCUGUUCUCUUGGCUUUUGCA
Molecule: long non-coding RNA, 771 nt
Organism: Glycine soja
Lineage: Eukaryota; Viridiplantae; Streptophyta; Magnoliopsida; Fabales; Fabaceae
Exons: 2
Source: RefSeq, a predicted model, not a curated record